GUGGGGAAUCUUGCACAAUGGGGGAAACCCUGAUGCAGCGACGCCGCGUGAACGAUGAAGCCCUUCGGGGUGUAAAGUUCUUUCGACAGGAACGAUAAUGACGGUACCUGGAGAAGAAGCUGCGGCUAACUACGUGCCAGCAGCCGCGGUAAUACGUAGGCAGCGAGCGUUGUUCGGAGUUACUGGGCGUAAAGAGUGCGUAGGCGGCGAGCCAAGUUUGGUGUGAAAUCUCCCGGCUUAACCGGGAGGGUGCGCCGAAAACUGGUUGGCUGGAGUAUGGGAGAGGAAAGCGGAAUUCCUGGUGUAGCGGUGAAAUGCGUAGAUAUCAGGAGGAACACCUGCGGUGUAGACAGCUUUCUGGACCAAAACUGACGCUGAGGCACGAAAGCGUGGGUAGCAAACA
This 403-nucleotide ribosomal RNA is filed under the name uncultured bacterium. Its description in RNAcentral is "bacterial SSU rRNA". It matches the Rfam family "Bacterial small subunit ribosomal RNA", at positions 354 to 774 of the family's 1533-position model. The record is from RNAcentral.